UAAGGAAUAUUGGACAAUGGAGGCAAUUCUGAUCCAGCCAUGCCGCGUGAAGGAAUAAGGCCCUAUGGGUUGUAAACUUCUUUUAGACGGGACAAAACCCCUUUACGUGUAAAGGGUUGAUGGUACUGUCAGAAUAAGCAUCGGCUAACUUCGUGCCAGCAGCCGCGGUAAUACGAAGGAUGCAAGCGUUAUCCGGAAUUAUUGGGUUUAAAGGGUGCGUAGGCGGACUAAUAAGUCAGUGGUGAAAGCCUGCAGCUUAACUGCAGAAUUGCCAUUGAUACUGUUAGUCUUGAGUACAGUUGAGGUAGGCGGAAUGUGUCAUGUAGCGGUGAAAUGCUUAGAUAUGACACAGAACACCGAUUGCGAAGGCAGCUUGCUAAGCUGUAACUGACGCUGAGGCACGAAAGCGUGGGGAGCAAACA
Molecule: ribosomal RNA, 422 nt
Filed under: uncultured bacterium
Lineage: Bacteria
Description: bacterial SSU rRNA
Rfam family: Bacterial small subunit ribosomal RNA
Source: RNAcentral